CCUGCCUUUCAGUCGCCAAGGCCUUUGUCCCAUGAGCAGAUCCAGUGAGGAAAGCCGCUGAGGCCGAGAAAGCCAAUGCAGGGAUGCUGUCGCCCUUCGCGGGUCAUGCCUGGGUUGGGGGCCAGAGUAAGCCACGCUCCCCUACGCAGCCCAGAAUUGGCAAUGUUGAACAUACCUAUCAGUAGCUGGAGAAAGAAGGUGAAGAACGAGAUAGCAACAUCUGUAGAAAAUACAAAAUUAUUAAAUUUUGUCAAGACUAGAGAAGAUUGUGAAGAAUGUCAGCGUCAUCUAACACAGCACUUGCAGAGCUUCAGUAUCCAGGAAAUAGUCUUCUGGCAGCAGCUGGAGAGUGAUGCCAGUUGAGUGUCCUUAAAAAGUAUGUUUGGUGCUAGAUAAAAUGUGGAAUGUUUUAAAAAUUGCUAAAUUGGAC
Molecule: non-coding RNA, 430 nt
Organism: Pelodiscus sinensis (Chinese soft-shelled turtle)
Lineage: Eukaryota; Metazoa; Chordata; Testudines; Trionychidae
Source: RefSeq, a predicted model, not a curated record